Molecule: long non-coding RNA, 456 nt
Organism: Mastomys coucha (southern multimammate mouse)
Lineage: Eukaryota; Metazoa; Chordata; Mammalia; Rodentia; Muridae
Exons: 3
Source: RefSeq, a predicted model, not a curated record
CAUCACCACCAGCCAUGUUGGUGAGCCUCUCUCUGCUUCCAGACUCCAUAGAACAGACACUACUGGCUCUCUGACCACGAUUCAGAGCUUAUCACAGACCGGGUGCAAGGGGCUGACCAUUUGGCACUGGACAACUAAUUGCUGGGCUCUUCUCCAAGGAAGUGCCUCUCCUGCCUUUGGCUCUCCUCGGCUGCUACUGGUUCUCUCGACAGGCUUUGUUUGUGGUGCUCGUUGGUGUCCUCCUGGUUCAGCUCACGUUUGAGCGGUCGUGUUGGGUCACCUAGAACUCACCAUGUAGCCCACAUAGGCCUCAAAAUUGCAGCUUUCCUCCAAUUUCUGCCUUCUCAGUGAUCACAGGUGUGCACCAUUGUGCCCAGGUAUGCACCAAGACUGUUUUCUUCCAAGUCAAACACUUAAUAAUAAGUCAAUUGCUCUCUUUCAUAAAACAACAUUUAA